UAAUAGAAAUGUGCAGGACUUAAGCUCU
This 28-nucleotide non-coding RNA is filed under the name Rattus norvegicus (Norway rat). Lineage: Eukaryota; Metazoa; Chordata; Mammalia; Rodentia; Muridae. The record is from RNAcentral.